Molecule: ribosomal RNA, 470 nt
Filed under: uncultured bacterium
Lineage: Bacteria
Description: bacterial SSU rRNA
Rfam family: Bacterial small subunit ribosomal RNA
Source: RNAcentral
CAAGCGGUGGAGCAUGUGGUUCAAUUCGACGCAACGCGAAGAACCUUACCUGGGCUCGAAGCGCAGUGGAAUGAGGUGGAAACAUCUCAGCCCGCAAGGGCCGCUGCGGAGGUGCUGCAUGGCUGUCGUCAGCUCGUGUCGUGAGAUGUUGGGUUAAGUCCCGCAACGAGCGCAACCCUUAUCGUCAGUUGCCACCGGGUCAAGCCGGGCACUCUGGCGAAACCGCCUCGGAUAACGGGGAGGAAGGUGGGGAUGACGUCAAGUCCUCAUGGCCUUUAUGUCCAGGGCUACACACGUGCUACAAUGGUCGGUACAAACCGUCGCAAACCCGCGAGGGGGUAGCUAAUCGGAAAAAGCCGGCCUCAGUUCGGUAUUGGAGUCUGCAACUCGACUCCCAUGAAGCUGGAAUCGCUAGUAAUCGCAGUAUCAGAACGCUGCGGUGAAUACGUUCCCGGGGCCUUGUACACACC